UUUGGUAUCUUUCAAACGACGAUCGAGUCAUGUAGCGUGCCGUGGUUCACUCGCUCGGCGACAAUGGCGGCAGAUCUUGAACAGUUUCAACAAAUUUUAAACACACUUCUCAGCGCAGAUAAUGAUGCUCGAACGCAAGCUGAGGAAGCAUAUAACAAUCUUCCGGUGGAAACUAAGGUAACAUUCCUUUUAACAUCGGUUUGCAAUAAUGUCCUUGCAGAAGAAAUGCGUGCUAUGGCUGCAGUCCUACUGCGCCGACUUUUUUCAUCUGAUUUCAUGGACUUUUAUUCUAAGAUCCCUCCAGAGGCACAAGUACAAUUGAAAGAGCAAAUCUUGUUAUACGUUCAAAAUGAACAAACAGAAACAAUUCGCCGUAAAAUAUGUGAAGUUGCAGCCGAAGUUGCCCGUAAUUUAAUUGAUGAAGAUGGAAAUAAUCAAUGGCCAGAAUUUUUGCAGUUCCUGUUCCAAUGCGCUAAUAGUCCUUUACCGGCAUUAAAAGAAAGUGCAUUACGAAUGUUUACUUCCGUCCCUGGUGUAUUUGGAAAUCAACAAUCAAAUUAUCUUGAUCUUAUUAAGCAAAUGUUACAACAAUCAGUCACGGAUAAUACAAAUUAUGAGGUUAGAUUCCAAGCAGUAAGAGCAAUAGGAGCUUUUAUAACUUUACACGACAAAGAAGAUAAUAUACAGAAACAUUUUUCUGAACUUUUACCAGUAGUUGUGCAAGUAACUCUUCAGUCCGUAGAAAAACAAGUUGAUGAUGCUUUAUUAAAAGUAUUGAUUGACUUAGCUGAGUCUACACCUAAAUUUUUGAGAAAUCAAUUAGAGAAUAUCAUGGAAAUGUGUAUGAACAUUUUUUCAAAUGAAGAAAUGGAAGAUUCCUGGAGACAAUUAGCUCUCGAAGUUUUAGUAACACUUUCAGAAACUGCACCAGCAAUGGUUCGUAAAGUUGGUGGAAAAUACAUAGCAGCAUUAGUACCCUUGGUUUUAAAAAUGAUGACAGACUUAGAAGAGGAUGAUAAAUGGAGUUUUUCCGAUGAAAUUAUAGAAGAAGAUAAUGACAGUAAUAAUGUGGUAGCUGAAAGUGCUUUAGACAGAUUAGCAUGUGGACUAGGUGGUAAAACCAUGCUACCACUAAUAGUGCAAAAUAUUCCUACUAUGUUGAGUAACACUGAUUGGAAAUACAGACACGCAGCUCUCAUGGCUAUAUCUGCUGUUGGCGAGGGAUGCCACAAACAAAUGGAAGCUAUAUUGCCACAAAUUAUGGAGGGUGUUAUACAAUACUUACAAGACCCUCAUCCUCGUGUAAGAUAUGCGGCUUGUAAUGCAGUAGGACAAAUGUCAACAGACUUUGCUCCUAUAUUCGAAAAAAAAUUCCACGAUAAAGUUAUACCCGGAUUACUUAUGGUAUUAGAUGAUAAUGCAAAUCCCAGAGUACAAGCACAUGCAGGAGCUGCACUUGUUAAUUUCAGUGAAGACUGUGCAAAACAUAUACUAACUCUAUACCUUGAUGCUAUUAUGACAAAGCUUGGAUCUAUACUCACUGCUAAGUUUCAAGAAUUAGUUGAGAAGGGUACUAAACUUGUUUUAGAACAAGUUGUUACAACUAUUGCUUCUGUCGCUGAUACAUGUGAAGAACAGUUUAUUACUUAUUAUGACAGAUUAAUGCCUUGUCUGAAAUAUAUUAUUCAAAAUGCAACUUUGCCAGAGCAUAAAAUGUUAAGAGGAAAAACAAUAGAAUGUGUCAGUCUCAUAGGUGUAGCUGUUGGCCCAGAAAAAUUCAUUGCCGAUGCUAAUGAAGUAAUGGAAAUGUUAUUAAAAACACAUUCAGAAGAUCUACCCGACGAUGAUCCUCAAACAAGUUAUUUAAUUUCUGCUUGGGUUCGCAUUUGUAAAAUUCUUGGAAAACAAUUUGAACAAUACUUACCAUUAGUAAUGGGUCCUGUACUACGUACUGCUGCAAUGAAACCAGAAGUUGCAUUGUUAGAUAAUGAAGACAUGCAAGGUGUAGAAGGAGAUCUUGAUUGGCAAUUUGUUUCUCUUGGAGAACAACAAAAUUUCGGCAUUAAAACAGCUGGUUUAGAAGACAAAGCAUCCGCAUGUGAAAUGCUGGUUUGUUAUGCUCGUCAAUUGAAAGAAGGAUUUGCGGAUUAUGCUGAAGAGGUAGUGCGGCUCAUGGUUCCUAUGUUAAAAUUCUAUUUUCAUGAUGGUGUACGUACCGCAGCUGCAUCAAGUUUACCAUGCCUUCUUGAUUGUGCAAAAAUCAAAGGAGUACAGUAUUUGGAAGGAAUGUGGUCUUAUAUUUGUCCUGAAUUAUUAAAAGCUAUUGACACGGAACCGGAAUCUGAAGUAUUGUUAGAACUAUUAUACUCUCUAGCCAAAUGUAUAGAAACAUUAGGAGCUGGUUGUUUGGGUACCGAACCUAUGGCAGAACUUUUACGUAUAUUGAACAAAUUACUCAAUGAACAUUUUGAAAGAGCAGUAGCUCGAUUAGAAAAGAGAAAAGAUGAAGAUUACGACGAAGUAGUCGAAGAACAGCUUGAAGAUGAAGAUAAUGAAGACAUAUACACUCUAAGUAAAAUUGCAGAUAUUUUACAUGCUCUUUUUAUAACACAUAAAUCAUCAUUUUUCGUAUGUUUCGAUCAAAUUUGUGGACAUUUUGUAAAAUUAUUAAGUCCUGAUAGGUCUUGGUCAGAUCACCAGUGGGCUUUAUGUGUAUUUGAUGAUGUAAUAGAAUUCGGUGGUCCUGAAUGCGCAAAGUACCAAGAAUUCUUUUUACGGCCAAUGAUUCAAUAUGUAUCAGAUAAAUCUGCUGAAGUCAGACAAGCGGCAGCAUAUGGUUGUGGAGUUUUAGGACAAUUUGGAGGAGAAGCAUUUGCUCAAGCAUGUGCUGAAGCAUUACCAAGGUUAAUGGAAGUAAUCAAUGAUCCAGAAUCUAGAUCACCAGAAAAUGUUAAUCCCACAGAGAAUGCUAUAUCAGCAGUAACAAAAAUUCUAAAAUAUAACAACAAAGCCAUUAACGUAGACAAAAUUCUUCCGCACUGGCUGUCUUGGCUGCCAGUUGUAGAGGACGAAGAUGAAGCUCCUCAUGUUUAUGGAUAUUUAUGUGAUUUGAUUGAAGCUAAUCACGUAUUAGUUUUAGGACCCAACAAUUCGAACCUCCCUAGAUUAAUAAGUUUUUUCGCUGAAGCCCUUCACAGAGCAGCUGUGCCUACAGAAGAUCCCGUUAUGGCCAGGAUUCUUGGUAUCGUUAGACAAAUUCAGAACAACGAAUCUAUGUUCCAAGCAUGUAUAAAUGCUUUAACGACGGAUCAACAACAGGCACUGAGCGAAGCACUCAAUGCACAGACAACCAAUUAGCCCUCUGCUUUUAUCGUCAAAUUUCAAAAACUUUAGUGUAAAGAAAAGAAAUAAUAAGAAUAUUAAUUUUUAAAAAAUCAUCAUACUCGCAUUAAAAUAUCCUUAUUACGGGGAAAUUACAGAGAUUUCAGGUAGCUAGAUUCAUCAUCCAAUUCUUUAACGAUAUCAAUUUUAGUAUUCGGGAUUGUUGCAAAAUCAAAUCGUUGAGUCGAUAAUUUUAUUCACUGCUGACCAAUGCAGUAUAAUACACAUGUAAUAUACUAAUGUAAAGGUCACGACUAUGAAUGCACUCGCCCUAACGAAUUUGAAAGAAACAAAAAUGAAAAUUUCUUAUAAAUACUCUUCGAUGAUAAUUGUAUAACGAUAUUAAUCAGAUGUAUUAUAUAUACACAGAAUCUUCUUUUAUUAAUCUUAAAAUUCUUCGCUAAAAAAAAAAGAGAAAUAGAAUCUGAAUGAGGCAAACAGAGCUACUAAAAUUUUAGGAAAAUUAUCUGAACAUCGAGAGUCGAGUUAUGCUGAAUCUGUAUAUGAAAAAUGUAGCUUUAUAAAUCAAAUAGUGUUUAUAAACACUAACACAAUUUUGUUAUGUGAAUGUAAUUAUAAGAAAUAUGAUGUUUUUGUCACUGCGAUCUCGCAUAUUUCUUUAUUGCAUCUAUUGUUCUGAAGCUGCACGCCCGGUUCUUUCGGCAGAAAAGAAAACGAUACAUCUUAUAAAAGUAUAUAUUCAAAUAGACUUACAAAAGCAAUUAGACAUUGCUUUGAGAUAAUGUUGUAAUAUUGUGAUUUAGGUAUUUUUAUUAUAAAAUUUAGGUACAGUAAAUGUUAUUUAAUGCUAACAUUGAUAAUAUUGCAGUGUUGAGGUUGGACGUAACUGUAUACGAAUGCCUUUCGAAUGAAACGUAAUGUUAUUGUUCAAUUAAUUAGAUUUGCUACAAAAUUUAGCUCCAUUAAGAAAAUAUUAAAAAGUUAUAUUUAAGUGGACUACAUAAGACAAUGUCUUUACAUUUUGAUAAUUGAAAAUUAAGAAACAACACUGCGUAUGUUUUAUAAUCAAUUAAUGGUGUUUUAAUUCUCUUAUAUUUUUUUUAUCAUUAAUAUUAUUAUUCCAUUUUUCUCUCAGAUGAUUGUCUGAUUUUUGUAUUAUUUAACAGAAACUACCAUUGUUAAGACAUUACGUUUUCUUCCAGUACAGAUUAAAAAAAAAAUAAGAACUUACAAGGAUUGUGAAAAGAGACGUUAUGCAAAAAAUGACUGAGUGAAAAAUAGUGUUAAAUAAUUCCCUGUUCUUGUUGCUAUUUAUUUAUAUACUAUAAAUCCUGUAAUAUGCAAUAUUACAUUAAAAUUUCCGAUGGAAAAUCUACCAUGAAGAAAUUUGUGAGUAGUUCUAACGUAAAAACGCUCAUAAUGAUAACAUUCUUUUUAUUAUAACGUGCGAUAAUUAGUAAUGAUAAUGAUCAAACGAUUAUGUGUAAAUACAACAAAAUAUAUGAAUAUCAAACAAGUAUAUACGGUCAAACUAAUUGACUACGAAUAUCAAUAAUUUAUGACAAAUAUUGUCUUAAUUAUGAUUUCACGUAGAUCAAUAAAUAAUUUUAAUGAAACGCAUAGAAAAUUGUAACAUUUAUCGAAUAACGGUAAAGGCGACUGUUUAUGCGUUACAUAACAAUAGCAAAAUGAGGAUUAAAAAAAAGUAAAAACAUGAAACAUCUAUAAUUCUUAUUAUAUAGAGAUUAUUUUAAAGUUAUUAUUAAGUCAAAAUAAACUUCAGCUUUAUAAUCGUUCGUUUCUUUUCCCUACCAACGAUAACAAUAAAGCUUACAAAAGCCAAAUUAAAAAGAAAUACGGACGAUUAUUAUUUAUGAGAUUUUAUUUCUGAUUAAAUAUUGCAUUUGAAUUAUUUAAAGUGUCAUAAAAAGUGCAAGUUUUACUUAUAGAUAGCUUCAUUUUUAUCUUGCAUUUCAUUAUUCGAUUUCAUAAAUUCUACGCAAAAGAAAUUAAUAAUUACUUAGUGAAAUAUAGCGGUAAUUGCGUUUGCAAUAAUGAACAUGAAUAUUCGAAAAAUUAUUUAAAUCUAUAUCAAUUUUGUUUGCAUAUUUAUGCAAGUUUUUUUCGGGAUACGAUGUAUCGUUCUGCAAAUAAAUACACGGCCAGUUCAACAAUUAUAAACAUACAAUUCUGAUCUUAUAUACACAUACACAUAAAUAUAUUCUGUGCAACACGAGUACACAUGUCUAUAUAUGUAUAUUUCGUGAUUUGAUGCUGGCGUCAUAUCAAACUGUGCAAUAACUCACACAUAUACAGCAAUUCUUAUAAAGAUCUCAUUUCUAAUAAUUUAAUUACUGUAUAGGAAUAUUAUUGAGAUAACCAAAA
Molecule: unclassified non-coding RNA, 5727 nt
Filed under: Polistes canadensis
Lineage: Eukaryota; Metazoa; Arthropoda; Insecta; Hymenoptera; Vespidae
Description: importin-5, transcript variant X1
Source: RNAcentral